UCCAGACUCCUACGGGAGGCAGCAGUGGGGGAUAUUGCACAAUGGGGGAAACCCUGAUGCAGCGACGCCGCGUGGGUGAAGAAGUAUUUCGGUAUGUAAAGCCCUAUCAGCAGGGAAGAAAGAAGACGGUACCUGACUAAGAAGCCCCGGCUAACUACGUGCCAGCAGCCGCGGUAAUACGUAGGGGGCGAGCGUUAUCCGGAUUCACUGGGUGUAAAGGGAGCGUAGACGGCCGUGCAAGCCAGGAGUGAAAGCCCGGGGCCCAACCCCGGGACUGCUCUUGGAACUGUGCGGCUGGAGUGCGGGAGGGGCAGGCGGAAUUCCUGGUGUAGCGGUGAAAUGCGUAGAUAUCAGGAGGAACACCGGCGGCGAAGGCGGCCUGCUGGACCGCGACUGACGUUGAGGCUCGAAAGCGUGGGGAGCGAACAGGAUUAGAUACCCCGGUAAA
RNAcentral lists this ribosomal RNA (448 nucleotides) under uncultured bacterium. Its description in RNAcentral is "bacterial SSU rRNA". It matches the Rfam family "Bacterial small subunit ribosomal RNA", at positions 330 to 794 of the family's 1533-position model. The record is from RNAcentral.